CCUACGGGUGGCAGCAGUGGGGAAUAUUGCGCAAUGGGCGAAAGCCUGACGCAGCGACGCCGCGUGAGGGAUGAAGGUCUUCGGAUCGUAAACCUCUGUCAGCAGGGAAGAACGGUCACUGUGCUAAUCAGCAGUGAAUUGACGGUACCUGCAAAGGAAGCCCCGGCUAACUCCGUGCCAGCAGCCGAGGUAAUACGGAGGGUGGGAGCGUUAAUCGGAAUUACUGGGCGUAAAGCGCUCGUAGGCGGUAUGUCAAGUCAAGGGUGAAAUCCCCGCGCGUCAAGUGGGAAGUGCCUUUGAAACUGGCAAAAUGGAGUGUGUGAGAGGAUAGUGGAAGGCCAGGUGUAGGAGUGAAAUCCGUAGAUAGCAGGAGGAACAUCAGGGGCGAAGGCGACUAUCUGGCACAUAACUGACGCUGAGGAGCGAAAGCGUGGGUAGCAAACAGGAUUAGAUACCCUGGUAGUC
This 465-nucleotide ribosomal RNA is filed under the name uncultured bacterium. RNAcentral's name for it is "partial 16S ribosomal RNA". It matches the Rfam family "Bacterial small subunit ribosomal RNA", at positions 338 to 795 of the family's 1533-position model. The record is from RNAcentral.